GGAAUAUUGGACAAUGGGCGCAAGCCUGAUCCAGCCACGCCGCGUGUGUGAUGAAGGCCUUCGGGUCGUAAAGCACUGUGGAGGGGGAAAAACAAGUGAGGGAAUAAUACCCCUCGCCCUGAUGGUACCCCUUUAGCAAGCACCGGCUAACUCCGUGCCAGCAGCCGCGGUAAUACGGAGGGUGCGAACGUUGCCCGGAAUUUUUGGGCGUAAAGCGCGUGUAGGCGGUUGGUUAAGUCGGAUGUGAAAUCCCUGAGCUCAACUUAGGAACUGCAUUCGAUACUGACUAACUCGAGUACAGGAGAGGGUGGCGGAAUUCCCGGUGUAGAGGUGAAAUUCGUAGAUAUCGGGAGGAACACCUGUGGCGAAGGCGGCCACCUGGACUGAUACUGACGCUGAGUACGCGAAAGCGUGGGGAGCAAAC
This 424-nucleotide ribosomal RNA is filed under the name uncultured bacterium. RNAcentral's name for it is "bacterial SSU rRNA". It matches the Rfam family "Bacterial small subunit ribosomal RNA", at positions 358 to 773 of the family's 1533-position model. The record is from RNAcentral.